This 433-nucleotide ribosomal RNA is filed under the name uncultured Lachnospiraceae bacterium. Its description in RNAcentral is "partial 16S ribosomal RNA". It matches the Rfam family "Bacterial small subunit ribosomal RNA", at positions 341 to 792 of the family's 1533-position model. Lineage: Bacteria; Bacillati; Bacillota; Clostridia; Lachnospirales; Lachnospiraceae. The record is from RNAcentral.
ACGGGAGGCGCAGUGGGGAAUAUUGCACAAUGGGGGAAACCCUGAUGCAGCGACGCCGCGUGAGUGAAGAAGUAUUUCGGUAUGUAAAGCUCUAUCAGCAGGGAAGAUAAUGACGGUACCUGACUAAGAAGCCCCGGCUAACUACGUGCCAGCAGCCGCGGUAAUACGUAGGGGGCAAGCGUUAUCCGGAUUUACUGGGUGUAAAGGGAGCGUAGACGGUCUGGCAAGUCUGAAGUGAAAUGCCGGGGCCCAACCCCGGAACUGCUUUGGAAACUGUUGGACUGGAGUGCAGGAGAGGUAAGCGGAAUUCCUAGUGUAGCGGUGAAAUGCGUAGAUAUUAGGAGGAACACUAGAGGCGAAGGCGGCUUACUGGACUGUAACUGACGUUGAGGCUCGAAAGCGUGGGGAGCAAACAGGAUUAGAUACCCUGGUA